This 547-nucleotide long non-coding RNA is filed under the name Homo sapiens (human). RNAcentral's name for it is "non-protein coding lnc-APBB3-3:4". Lineage: Eukaryota; Metazoa; Chordata; Mammalia; Primates; Hominidae. The record is from RNAcentral.
AUUUUUGGAAAGGGGGAGGUGCUUUCCUAGUGGCCAAAUGACUUGUGGGGGGACCACAGUCUGGAGGUGGAGGCUGGCCUGCCUCCUGGCUGGAGGAAGAUCCACGAUGCUGCAGGUACUUACUACUGGCAUGUACCCAGCGGUAGCACCCAGUGGCAGCGCCCAACCUGGGAACUAGGAGAUGCAGAGGACCCAGGCACGGUAGGUAGAGUGUGAGGAGGAGGUCUGAGCCCAUGUGUGGACCUAGGUCUGCUGUUAAACUGACUAACUCCCACUCUACAGGGAACGGAGGGGAUCUGGGGACUGCGGCCCCCCAAAGGGAGAUCCUUCUCCAGCCUGGAGAGUUCACUGGACCGGAGGUAACGGGUGGCCCAGGCAAAAUGAAAGGCUUGGGGUUCCAUGGUGUUCAAAAAUGCAGCUGGACCCAUGGUCUGCUUUCCAGCCCAGGUUCUGGAUUCUGUCACAUGUUUUGGGUUCUGUUACGUUCUUGGCUCUGUCCCAGGUUCUUAACUGUCAGUAUUUUGAGUUUUAUCCCUUGUUCUAAGCU